UGAGAUGCUGGCGCUGCCUGCGAGUGACGGGGAGGUGCAGUGUGCCUUUCUCCCUUGGAACUGAUGAAUUCCAGGACGUGGAAAAUGCAACAAAACCAACCUCGCUGUAGAAAGAAUCUUUGCGAUUGCAAUUGUAAGAUACUGGGUUUUUAGGUCCCGAAGCCUUUUACAGAGCUUGCUCAGCAAAUCAUACCAUGAGAUGGGAAAAGAGUCCAGAAGUCUUCUAGAGCCUGUGAUGUUUUUUCUAGGACUUGACAUACACGUGGGAAGCAGAAGAAAGGCCAAGACAACCUAUAGAGAGACAAAGGAAUGUUUUGAUUAUUGGACGAGCAAGAGAUUUCAAAUACAUGAGAGGCUGAGAAAAUAUAAAUGUCAAUGCAAAAUGUAUACAUGAAUUAGCAAAUUUUUCUUUUUGUCUUUAGCUGAGCACAUUCUUUUAAUCUCUACUCCUCUAUCCAUCCUUAUCCCUUCGUUGUCAAGUAAAAUGUGCAUUUGUACCACAGUUAAUCACUUCUGAAGCAUUUUAAAUGCUGGUAUUUCAAGGUAUCUAGUGGUUUUUGUUUCACCAAAAACUUCACUAGAGGAUCUGCUCCCUUUUAAAAACUGGGUUUCAGAGACAAAGGGAAACUCCAUGUUGCCCAAAGGUAAAACAGUAAGCCUAUGACAAUGAGUUGCAAAUAACCAUAUAGCUCUGAAUUCUGAUGAGCCAAGAAGUUACAUGAUUCUUUUCCACUAAAUGUACUAGAAGUAGGCAUCCAGACUUCUUUCUUUAAGAAAAAAGUACUUAAGCAAGGUCAUAUGGAGGUCAAAAAGCCAGCUCAUUUAGUGUGGAAACUGGAGCAGUGUGCUCUGCAUGUUCAGAAUAUAUAAACAUUCCAGAAAGUGGCAAAUUCAUACAGCCUCUCUGUGUAACAGCUACCUAGAGUGCCAUGCUUUUUCCUGCUUUCAUCCUUUUUUUUUUUUGUAUUCAUAAGCAGGCUCAAGAUCAAAUCUAAUGUGUCAAUGUUAAAAUUUUUAUCUAAAUAGAUAAAAUUACCAAGGCCUUUUUAUUCCUAAGGAUGACAUCAGUAACAAUUUGCUAUAGAGUUUUGUCAGUCUUGGAGGAGUUGGAAUGUUCUGAUUUUUCCUUGGUGAUUCCAUUUGUAAAUCCACCUACUGCUGCCAUUGUGAUGAAAUAAAUUAUCAAAACAAUGUGA
This is a non-coding RNA of Zonotrichia albicollis (white-throated sparrow), 1196 nucleotides long. The record is from RefSeq and is a predicted model, not a curated record. Lineage: Eukaryota; Metazoa; Chordata; Aves; Passeriformes; Passerellidae.